Molecule: unclassified non-coding RNA, 306 nt
Filed under: [Candida] sp.
Lineage: Eukaryota; Fungi; Ascomycota; Saccharomycetes; Saccharomycetales
Description: partial contains 5.8S ribosomal RNA, internal transcribed spacer 2, and large subunit ribosomal RNA
Rfam family: 5.8S ribosomal RNA (bases 1-52)
Source: RNAcentral
AACGCACCUUGCGCCCUUUGGUAUUCCGAAGGGCAUGCCUGUUUGAGUGUCAUUGAACCAUCGACCUUGCGAGCUUUUUCCGCUGGCAAGGCUCGGACGUGAGGGCUUUUGCUGGCUUCCUUCAGUGGAUGGUCUGCUCCCUUCAAAUGCAUUAGUGGGAUCCUUUGUGGAUGGUCACUUGGUGUGAUAAUUAUCUACGCCGUCCGACUUGAAGCAAGACCUGUGGGAACCCGCUCAUAACCCCGUCUCUUGGAGACACUUUGACAAUUUGACCUCAAAUCAGGUAGGACUACCCGCUGAACUUAA